CCGGCGAUGUCCGAAUGGGGAAACCCAGUGCAAUUCGUUGCACUAUCGUUAACUGAAUACAUAGGUUAACGAGGCGAACCGGGGGAACUGAAACAUCUAAGUACCCCGAGGAAAAGAAAUCAACCGAGAUUCCCCCAGUAGCGGCGAGCGAACGGGGAGCAGCCCAGAGUCUGAAUCAGCUUGUGUGUUAGUGGAACGGUCUGGAAAGUCCGACGGUACAGGGUGAUAGUCCCGUACACCAAAAUGCACAGGCUGUGAACUCGAAGAGUAGGGCGGGACACGUGGUAUCCUGUCUGAAUAUGGGGGGACCAUCCUCCAAGGCUAAAUACUCCUGACUGACCGAUAGUGAACCAGUACCGUGAGGGAAAGGCGAAAAGAACCCCGGCGAGGGGAGUGAAAAAGAACCUGAAACCGUGUACGUACAAGCAGUGGGAGCACCUUCGGGUGUGACUGCGUACCUUUUGUAUAAUGGGUCAGCGACUUAUAUUCUGUAGCAAGGUUAACCGUAUAGGGGAGCCGCAGGGAAACCGAGUCUUAACUGGGCGUUAAGUUGCAGGGUAUAGACCCGAAACCCGGUGAUCUAGCCAUGGGCAGGUUGAAGGUUGGGUAACACUAACUGGAGGACCGAACCGACUAAUGUUGAAAAAUUAGCGGAUGACUUGUGGCUGGGGGUGAAAGGCCAAUCAAACCGGGAGAUAGCUGGUUCUCCCCGAAAGCUAUUUAGGUAGCGCCUCGUGAAUUCAUCUUCGGGGGUAGAGCACUGUUUCGGCUAGGGGGUCAUCCCGACUUACCAACCCGAUGCAAACUACGAAUACCGAAGAAUGUUAUCACGGGAGACACACGGCGGGUGCUAACGUCCGUCGUGAAGAGGGAAACAACCCAGACCGCCAGCUAAGGUCCCAAAGUCAUGGUUAAGUGGGAAACGAUGUGGGAAGGCACAGACAGCCAGGAUGUUGGCUUAGAAGCAGCCAUCAUUUAAAGAAAGCGUAAUAGCUCACUGGUCGAGUCGGCCUGCGCGGAAGAUGUAACGGGGCUAAACCAUGCACCGAAGCUGCGGCAGCGACACUAUGUGUUGUUGGGUAGGGGAGCGUUCUGUAAGCCUGCGAAGGUGUGCUGUGAGGCAUGCUGGAGGUAUCAGAAGUGCGAAUGCUGACAUAAGUAACGAUAAAGCGGGUGAAAAGCCCGCUCGCCGGAAGACCAAGGGUUCCUGUCCAACGUUAAUCGGGGCAGGGUGAGUCGACCCCUAAGGCGAGGCCGAAAGGCGUAGUCGAUGGGAAACAGGUUAAUAUUCCUGUACUUGGUGUUACUGCGAAGGGGGGACGGAGAAGGCUAUGUUAGCCGGGCGACGGUUGUCCCGGUUUAAGCAUGUAGGCUGGUUGUCCAGGCAAAUCCGGAUAAUCAAGGCUGAGGUGUGAUGACGAGGCACUACGGUGCUGAAGUAACAAAUGCCCUGCUUCCAGGAAAAGCCUCUAAGCAUCAGGUAACAUUAAAUCGUACCCCAAACCGACACAGGUGGUCAGGUAGAGAAUACCAAGGCGCUUGAGAGAACUCGGGUGAAGGAACUAGGCAAAAUGGUGCCGUAACUUCGGGAGAAGGCACGCUGGUGUGUAGGUGAAGUCCCUGCGGAUGGAGCUGAGACCAGUCGAAGAUACCAGCUGGCUGCAACUGUUUAUUAAAAACACAGCACUGUGCAAACACGAAAGUGGACGUAUACGGUGUGACGCCUGCCCGGUGCCGGAAGGUUAAUUGAUGGGGUUAUCCGUAAGGAGAAGCUCUUGAUCGAAGCCCCGGUAAACGGCGGCCGUAACUAUAACGGUCCUAAGGUAGCGAAAUUCCUUGUCGGGUAAGUUCCGACCUGCACGAAUGGCGUAAUGAUGGCCAGGCUGUCUCCACCCGAGACUCAGUGAAAUUGAACUCGCUGUGAAGAUGCAGUGUACCCGCGGCAAGACGGAAAGACCCCGUGAACCUUUACUAUAGCUUGACACUGAACAUUGAGCCUUGAUGUGUAGGAUAGGUGGGAGGCUUUGAAGCGUGGACGCCAGUCUGCGUGGAGCCAACCUUGAAAUACCACCCUUUAAUGUUUGAUGUUCUAACGUUGGCCCCUGACCGGGGUUGCGGACAGUGUCUGGUGGGUAGUUUGACUGGGGCGGUCUCCUCCCAAAGCGUAACGGAGGAGCACGAAGGUUAGCUAAUCCUGGUCGGACAUCAGGAGGUUAGUGCAAUGGCAUAAGCUAGCUUGACUGCGAGCGUGACGGCGCGAGCAGGUGCGAAAGCAGGUCAUAGUGAUCCGGUGGUUCUGAAUGGAAGGGCCAUCGCUCAACGGAUAAAAGGUACUCCGGGGAUAACAGGCUGAUACCGCCCAAGAGUUCAUAUCGACGGCGGUGUUUGGCACCUCGAUGUCGGCUCAUCACAUCCUGGGGCUGAAGUAGGUCCCAAGGGUAUGGCUGUUCGCCAUUUAAAGUGGUACGCGAGCUGGGUUUAGAACGUCGUGAGACAGUUCGGUCCCUAUCUGCCGUGGGCGCUGGAGAAUUGAGGGGGGCUGCUCCUAGUACGAGAGGACCGGAGUGGACGCAUCACUGGUGUUCGGGUUGUCAUGCCAAUGGCACUGCCCGGUAGCUAAAUGCGGAAGAGAUAAGUGCUGAAAGCAUCUAAGCACGAAACUUGCCCCGAGAUGAGUUCUCCCUGAGACUUUAAGUCUCCUGAAGGAACGUU
Molecule: ribosomal RNA, 2712 nt
Filed under: Klebsiella pneumoniae
Lineage: Bacteria; Pseudomonadati; Pseudomonadota; Gammaproteobacteria; Enterobacterales; Enterobacteriaceae
Description: partial 23S ribosomal RNA
Rfam family: Bacterial large subunit ribosomal RNA
Source: RNAcentral